AACGAACGUUAGCGGCGCGCCUAACACAUGCAAGUCGAACGCGACAGGGGCAACUCUGUUGAGUGGCGCACGGGUGAGUAACACGUAGGUAAUCUCCCCCCGAGUGGUGGAUAACCUUCCGAAAGGAGGGCUAAUACAGCAUAAGACCACGGCUUCGAAAGGAGCUGAGGUCAAAGCGGAGGAUCGCAAGACUUCGCGCUUGGGGAUGAGCCUGCGGCCCAUCAGGUAGUUGGCGGGGUAACAGCCCACCAAGCCUAAGACGGGUAGCUGUCUGAGAGGAUGAUCAGCCACACUGGAACUGAGACACGGUCCAGACUCCUACGGGAGGCAGCAGUGGGGAAUCUUGCGCAAUGGACGAAAGUCUGACGCAGCGACGCCGCGUGGGUGAUGAAGGCCUUCGGGUUGUAAAGCCCUGUGGGGAGGGACGAAUAAGUUUCAGCUAAUACCUGAAGCGAUGACGGUACCUCCUUAGCAAGCACCGGCUAACUCUGUGCCAGCAGCCGCGGUAA
This 509-nucleotide ribosomal RNA is filed under the name uncultured bacterium. RNAcentral's name for it is "partial 16S ribosomal RNA". It matches the Rfam family "Bacterial small subunit ribosomal RNA", at positions 29 to 523 of the family's 1533-position model. The record is from RNAcentral.